This 400-nucleotide ribosomal RNA is filed under the name uncultured bacterium. RNAcentral's name for it is "bacterial SSU rRNA". It matches the Rfam family "Bacterial small subunit ribosomal RNA", at positions 359 to 776 of the family's 1533-position model. The record is from RNAcentral.
GAAUCUUAGACAAUGGGGGCAACCCUGAUCUAGCGAUGCCGCGUGGAUGAAGAAGGCCUUCGGGUUGUAAAAUCCUUUCACCUGAGACGAUAAUGACGGUAUCAGGAGAAGAAGCACCGGCAAACUCUGUGCCAGCAGCCGCGGUAAGCCAGAGGGUGCUAGCGUUGUUCGGAAUGGCUGGGCGUAAAGGGCGCGUAGGCGGAUAUAUUAGUCAAGCGUGAAAGCCCCGGGCUUAACCUGGGAACUGCGCAUGAAACGGUAUAACUGGAGGACGAGAGAGGAAAGUGGAAUUCCUAGUGUAGAGGUGAAAUUCGUAGAUAUUAGGAGGAACAUCAGAGGCGAAGGCGGCUUUCUGGCUCGUAACUGACGCUGAGGCGCGAAAGCGUGGGGAGCAAACAGG